GAUGAAGAACGUAGCGAAAUGCGAUAAGUAAUGUGAAUUGCAGAAUUCAGUGAAUCAUCGAAUCUUUGAACGCACAUUGCGCCCCCUGGCAUUCCGGGGGGCAUGCCUGUCCGAGCGUCAUUACAACCCUCAAGCUCAGCUUGGUGUUGGGCCCCGCCGCCCCGGCGGGCCCUAAAGUCAGUGGCGGUGCCGUCCGGCUCCGAGCGUAGUAAUUCUUCUCGCUCUGGAGGUCCGGUCGUGUGCUCGCCAGCAACCCCCAAUUUUUUUCAGGUUGACCUCGGAUCAGGUAGGGAUACCCGCUGAACUUAAGCAUAUCAAUAAGCGGAGGA
This 329-nucleotide unclassified non-coding RNA is filed under the name soil metagenome. RNAcentral describes it as "partial contains 5.8S ribosomal RNA, internal transcribed spacer 2, and large subunit ribosomal RNA". The stretch from base 1 to 120 matches the Rfam family "5.8S ribosomal RNA", at positions 35 to 154 of the family's 154-position model. The record is from RNAcentral.